GCGGUUGCCAGGCGGGGCCUCUCUACUAGUGCUGUGCAGAGGCUUUCACUGAGGCUGCUGUGAGACUGUAGAGUUUCCCCAUAGGCCGCAGAGCUGG
Molecule: microRNA precursor, 97 nt
Filed under: Equus caballus (horse)
Lineage: Eukaryota; Metazoa; Chordata; Mammalia; Perissodactyla; Equidae
Description: mir-9058 microRNA precursor family
Rfam family: mir-9058 microRNA precursor family
Source: Rfam by way of RNAcentral